GACGAACGCUGGCGGCGUGCUUAACACAUGCAAGUCGAACGAUGAAGCUGGAGCUUGCUCCGGUGGAUUAGUGGCGAACGGGUGAGUAACACGUGAGCAAUCUGCCCUUGACUCUGGGAUAACUGCGGGAAACUGUAGCUAAUACCGGAUAUGAGGCUUGGAGGCAUCUCCAGGUCUGGAAAGAAUUUCGGUCAAGGAUGAGCUCGCGGCCUAUCAGCUAGUUGGUGAGGUAAUGGCUCACCAAGGCGACGACGGGUAGCCGGCCUGAGAGGGUGACCGGCCACACUGGGACUGAGACACGGCCCAGACUCCUACGGGAGGCAGCAGUGGGGAAUAUUGCACAAUGGGCGAAAGCCUGAUGCAGCAACGCCGCGUGAGGGAUGAAGGCCUUCGGGUUGUAAACCUCUUUUAGCAGGGAAGAAGCGAAAGUGACGGUACCUGCAGAAAAAGCACCGGCUAACUACGUGCCAGCCGCCGCCGCUG
Molecule: ribosomal RNA, 483 nt
Filed under: uncultured bacterium
Lineage: Bacteria
Description: partial 16S ribosomal RNA
Rfam family: Bacterial small subunit ribosomal RNA
Source: RNAcentral